CAGUGAAUCAUCGAAUCUUUGAACGCACCUUGCACCCUUUGGUAUUCCGAAGGGUAUGCCUGUUUGAGUGUCAUUAAAUUCUCAACCAUUGAACUUGUUUCUCUGGAUUGGAUGUGGGGGUUUGCAGGCUUCGCAAGAGGUCAGCUCUCCUUAAAUGUAUUAGUGGAAACCGCUUGCAGGAUUCAUUCACUUCUUGGCGUGAUAGUAUCGUCGUCAAAAGGUAGUGUCUCCGAGGUGUCUGCUCUCCAACUGUCCGUAAGGGACUCUUAAUGACUUGUUUGACCUCAAAUCAGGUAGGACUACCCGCUGAACUUAA
RNAcentral lists this unclassified non-coding RNA (316 nucleotides) under uncultured Mycenella. RNAcentral describes it as "sequence contains ITS1". The stretch from base 1 to 73 matches the Rfam family "5.8S ribosomal RNA", at positions 82 to 154 of the family's 154-position model. Lineage: Eukaryota; Fungi; Basidiomycota; Agaricomycetes; Agaricales; Tricholomataceae. The record is from RNAcentral.